GGAGGGUGCAAGCGUUAUCCGGAAUCAUUGGGUUUAAAGGGUCUGUAGGCGGGCAUAUAAGUCAGUGGUGAAAGUCUGUGGCUUAACCAUAGAAUUGCCAUUGAUACUGUAUGUCUUGAAUUAUUGUGAAGUGGUUAGAAUAUGUAGUGUAGCGGUGAAAUGCUUAGAGAUUACAUAGAAUACCGAUUGCGAAGGCAGAUCACUAACAAUAUAUUGACGCUGAUGGGACGAAAGCGUAGGUAGCGAACAGGAUUAGAUACCCUGGUAGUCUACGCCCGUAAACGAUGGAUACUAGUUGUUUGGUUUUCGGACUGAGUGACUAAGCGAAAGUGAUAAGUAUCCCCACCUGGGAGUACGUUCGCAGAAUG
Molecule: ribosomal RNA, 368 nt
Filed under: uncultured organism
Description: partial 16S ribosomal RNA
Rfam family: Bacterial small subunit ribosomal RNA
Source: RNAcentral